CUCACUAUUAUUAUCUAAUCGGCUGUAUAGAAUCAUUCACUGCUGACUACAAUGAAUGGACAUACAUAUGUUUGCCUUGGAUAGGUUUCUUACAUAUGAAUGUAUUAACGAAUAAUAUAAAAUGGAAUAUUUUAUAGAUAUCACAAGUUCUAUCGCUAAUACUAAACUGAAUUGGUACCGAAAACGGAACGAGCAGCGAUUUUGAGUGUAUUUGUGUUUAUUUACCGACCGAUUCCAUCGACAAUCUUUACGUUCACUUUAACAAAUAACACGAUUUUUUGCGCUUUUCUGUUUGAAGAAAUGUUUUAUGAAUUUAUAAUCGGUUAUACCAAGGGUGUAUAUAGUACGAGAAACAUUUUCCGUAUAUUUCGUAGUCAUAACUCUAAAACUAUGGAUAAAUUAGACGUUACUGUCUGGAACAAUACCAAAAUCCAUUAAUUUGUUUGCUGAUGAAAUAACAACGGGUAAAUAUGUUUAUCGGUUUAUCGGUCAAGAAAAUUAAUUACGAAAAUUUCGGUGCUGUUAUUUAUAUACUUAUUUAUUCUGGACAGAUUACAGUUUUAGCAAGGCAUCACAGUAUAUUGUUGGUUUAUUAGCUAUCACUUACCUGUGACGAGGUACAGAAGCAAUACGAUGAUCCACAUCGCUGCGAGCGGAUCGUGCGACUGUGAUUUCGCAGCCCUAUCACGACUAAUUUGAUUCCGAGUAAAAUUUUAAACUGUUCUAUGACCGCACUGCUUUAUCUUAACUGAAUGC
Molecule: long non-coding RNA, 756 nt
Organism: Danaus plexippus (monarch butterfly)
Lineage: Eukaryota; Metazoa; Arthropoda; Insecta; Lepidoptera; Nymphalidae
Exons: 2
Source: RefSeq, a predicted model, not a curated record